Pseudomonas putida KT2440 is the source of this 130-nucleotide regulatory RNA element. It matches the Rfam family "rmf RNA". The record is from Rfam. Lineage: Bacteria; Pseudomonadati; Pseudomonadota; Gammaproteobacteria; Pseudomonadales; Pseudomonadaceae.
UUCGAUAGAACUGGUCUCAGGCCGCUUCGCAACGAGGCGGCACUUUCAGCUCGCCACGCCGGCAGCGAGCGCAAACCGGCAGAACGACUCUGCCCGGCCUCGGAGAGGCCGACGGGACAUUACAGUCAAC